RNAcentral lists this unclassified non-coding RNA (307 nucleotides) under plant metagenome. Its description in RNAcentral is "partial contains 5.8S ribosomal RNA, internal transcribed spacer 2, and large subunit ribosomal RNA". The stretch from base 1 to 105 matches the Rfam family "5.8S ribosomal RNA", at positions 50 to 154 of the family's 154-position model. The record is from RNAcentral.
GAAAUGCGAUAAGUAAUGUGAAUUGCAGAAUUCAGUGAAUCAUCGAAUCUUUGAACGCACAUUGCGCCCGCCAGCACUCUGGCGGGCAUGCCUGUUCGAGCGUCAUUUCAACCCUCAGAACCCCUUUCGGGAUCUGGCGUUGGGGAUUGGCAUCCAGCCAGCCCCGAAAUCUAGCGGCGGUCCCUCCGCGACCUCCCCUGUGCAGUAGCGAUACCUCGCAGCGGGACAGCGGUCUGACCACGCCGUAAAACCCCCAACUUCUCAAGGUUGACCUCGAAUCAGGUAGGAAUACCCGCUGAACUUAAGC